AACGAACGCUGGCGGCGUGCUUAACACAUGCAAGUCGAGUGCGCGUGCCGUAGCAAUACGGCAUGGCGCACGGCGCACGGGUGCGUAACACGUGGGCAAUCUGCCCUCCGGUGGGGAAUAACCCCGCGAAAGCGGGGCUAAUUCCGCAUAACAUUCCCUGGACUCCGGUUCGGGGAUUCAAAGCAGUGAUGCGCCGGAGGAGGAGCCCGCGCCCGAUUAGCUAGUUGGUGAGGUAACGGCUCACCAAGGCAAUGAUCGGUAGCUGGUCUGAGAGGAUGGCCAGCCACACUGGAACUGAGACACGGUCCAGACUCCUACGGGAGGCAGCAGUGGGGAAUCUUGCGCAAUGGGCGAAAGCCUGACGCAGCGACGCCGCGUGGGGGAUGAAGCUUUUCGGAGUGUAAACCCCUUUCGACUGGGACGAAUGCCCGCAAGGGAGUGACGGUACCGGUAGAAGAAGCCCCGGCUAACUACGUGCCAGCAGCCGCGGUAAGACGUAGGGGGCCAGCGUUGUUCGGAAUUACUGGGUGUAAAGGGUUCGUAGGCGGUGUGGCAAGUCGGGAGUGAAAUUUC
Molecule: ribosomal RNA, 573 nt
Filed under: uncultured Acidobacteriota bacterium
Lineage: Bacteria; Pseudomonadati; Acidobacteriota
Description: bacterial SSU rRNA
Rfam family: Bacterial small subunit ribosomal RNA
Source: RNAcentral